Molecule: ribosomal RNA, 197 nt
Filed under: uncultured bacterium
Lineage: Bacteria
Description: partial 16S ribosomal RNA
Rfam family: Bacterial small subunit ribosomal RNA
Source: RNAcentral
GGCUGCAACUCGCCUACAUGAAGUCGGAAUUGCUGUAAUCGCGGAUCAGCAUGCCGCGGUGAAUACGUUCCCGGGCCUUGUACACACCGCCCGUCACACCAUGGGAGUCGGUAACACCCGAAGCCUGUAGUCUAACCGCAAGGGGGACGCAGUCGAAGGUGGGAUUGAUGACUGGGGUGAAGUCGUAACAAGGUACC